Molecule: ribosomal RNA, 452 nt
Filed under: uncultured bacterium
Lineage: Bacteria
Description: bacterial SSU rRNA
Rfam family: Bacterial small subunit ribosomal RNA
Source: RNAcentral
AACGAACGCUGGCGGCAUGCCUAACACAUGCAAGUCGAACGAGACCUUCGGGUCUAGUGGCGCACGGGUGCGUAACGCGUGGGAACCUGCCUUUAGGUUCGGAAUAACUCAGAGAAAUUUGAGCUAAUACCGGAUAAUGUCUUCGGACCAAAGAUUUAUCGCCUUUAGAUGGGCCCGCGUAAGAUUAGCUAGUUGGUGGGUAAAGGCCUACCAAGGCGACGAUCUUUAGCUGGUCUGAGAGGAUGAUCAGCCACACUGGGACUGAGACACGGCCCAGACUCCUACGGGAGGCAGCAGUGGGGAAUAUUGGACAAUGGGCGAAAGCCUGAUCCAGCAAUGCCGCGUGAGUGAUGAAGGCCUUAGGGUUGUAAAGACUCUUUUACCCGUAGAUGAUAAUGACAGUAUCGGGAGAAUAAGCUCCGGCUAACUACCGUCGCAGCAGCCGCGGUAAU